AGCAUAUCAAUAAGCGGAGGAAAAGAAACCAACAGGGAUUGCCCCAGUAACGGCGAGUGAAGCGGCAACAGCUCAAAUUUGAAAUCUGGCCCCUAGGGUCCGAGUUGUAAUUUGUAGAGGAUGCUUUUGGUGAGGUGCCGCCCGAGUUCCCUGGAACGGGACGCCGCAGAGGGUGAGAGCCCCGUCUGGCUGGCCACCGAGCCUCUGUAAAGCUCCUUCGACGAGUCGAGUAGUUUGGGAAUGCUGCUCAAAAUGGGAGGUAUAUGUCUUCUAAAGCUAAAUAUUGGCCAGAGACCGAUAGCGCACAAGUAGAGUGAUCGAAAGAUGAAAAGCACCUUGAAAAGAGGGUUAAACAGUACGUGAAAUUGUUGAAAGGGAAGCGCUUGUGACCAGACUUGGGCGCGGCGAAUCAUCCGGGGUUCUCCCCGGUGCACUUCGCCGCGUUCAGGCCAGCAUCAGUUCGGCGCGGGGGAAAAAGGCUUCGGGAACGUGGCUGCUCCGGCAGUGUUAUAGCCCGUUGCAUAAUACCCUGCGCUGGACUGAGGACCGCGCAUCUGCAAGGAUGCUGGCGUAAUGGUCACCAGCGACCCGUCUUGAAACACGGACCAAGGAGUCGUCUUCGUAUGCGAGUGUUCGGGUGUCAAACCCCUACGCGUAAUGAAAGUGAACGCAGGUGAGAGCUUCGGCGCAUCAUCGACCGAUCCUGAUGUUCUCGGAUGGAUUUGAGUAAGAGCAUACGGGGCCGGACCCGAAAGAAGGUGAACUAUGCCUGUAUAGGGUGAAGCCAGAGGAAACUCUGGUGGAGGCUCGCAGCGGUUCUGACGUGCAAAUCGAUCGUCAAAUAUGGGCAUGGGGGCGAAAGACUAAUCGAACCUUCUAGUAGCUGGUUUCCGCCGAAGU
This 900-nucleotide ribosomal RNA is filed under the name Trichoderma dingleyae. Its description in RNAcentral is "LSU rRNA". It matches the Rfam family "Eukaryotic large subunit ribosomal RNA", at positions 37 to 967 of the family's 3401-position model. Lineage: Eukaryota; Fungi; Ascomycota; Sordariomycetes; Hypocreales; Hypocreaceae. The record is from RNAcentral.